Molecule: long non-coding RNA, 1076 nt
Filed under: Junco hyemalis (dark-eyed junco)
Lineage: Eukaryota; Metazoa; Chordata; Aves; Passeriformes; Passerellidae
Description: lncRNA (ENSJHYG00000009682.1)
Source: RNAcentral
AAGAGAUAACCCAGCCCUGCGAUGCCUUGCCAGCCUGUCCCACACCCUUUACCUUCCAUCCUUCCUUCUUUCCCUCUCCUGGUGGAGACACAGCAUUCUCCCACCCCUGGCCCUGGCUCCUCUGGCACUCAGCCACCAUUCUGCAGCAGGUCUGACCGGGUCUGAUGUCUGCCAGAGACUGUUCUUCAUCAGCCGGGCCCUGGAGGUAAGAGCAGUGACUGAGAAAGGCUUCUCCCAAGUAAAAUAUGACUUAUUCAUAGAACAGAGCACUUGGGGAGAAAAAUGCUAAUGUGAGAUGAGCUGAUGUCUCACCAGAAAGGUCUACAGGCCUAACUCUUCCUUGGACCCUGCUCUGUGGAUGGAAAUACCCCUGAAGACUUCACUUUUCUUAGCUUCAGAGCAGAGAUCUUCUCUAUAACAAGGCAAUGCCUCUGUUUUGUGUGUUUGGGAGCUCCUUUUGCCAAGCUCGUCUGGUGAAGAAACUAAUGGACACUGGAAACAUUCCUGUGACUGCCCUGCUUCAUGUACAGCAUGCUGCACAUCAGCACAAGAGGAGUCCCUGCUGCUAAAAUUGAACUCUCUUUCUCAACAGCCUCAUUCACCAGGACACUGAGCUGGCAAAUCAGAUGCACACAACUUUCCAGGCUGUGCUGCGUCCAAGCUCUGCCUUCUUACAGCACAGGCUCUCCUCCUGAAGUUCUCUGCAGAUCUCCUAGUGUGUAGAUAUUAUGGGCUAGAUUCUCUUGGGAACAGUGGAGGAAUGAACUACAGAAGAAUAAUUUGGAGAUAUCAGACUCUACGACUUCUCUGUGGUCUCUGAACAAAGGCUAGGUGAGGAUGCAUAGAUUACUUUAAAACGCAUCAACUAUUAACAUGUAACAAGGCAUUGAGAAUUGUUUCAGUUCAAGAGCUGCAGCUGCUAAUUGGUAACAACCACUUUGUCAAUCCUACACCAGACAGGUAUUCUGCUGUGUUUGACAAUGCCAUGAUUCCUGACAGCACGCAGCAUCCAGAUAAGCUAGCUGUGUUCGUUUCUGUGUGAAUAAAAUGUGUUAUUAUUUUCCCUUAAUUCUACA